AAAAAAUCAAAUUCGGUUUUGCUUUUCCACAAAGAUAUGGAAGGUAUUGAAAAAGCAAGGAAUCCCAGCAAAAGAACUGGGCAUAGCAGCAUAGGGAGGAGCCUAAGCAGGAGUAGCUGGAGCAUGGAGGAUGUAUUCUCAGGUUCCAAGUAUUCCAGGAGUAGCCGAGUUGAUGAAGAUGAAGAAGCUCUAAAAUGGGCCUCCAUCGAGAAGCUACCGACGUAUGAUCGACUCAGAACCAGCAUCAUGCAAUCGUUUGUGGACCAUGAGAUUGUCGGGAAGAGGGUGGAACAUAGAGCUGUCGACGUUACCUAGCUUAACGUGAAUGACAGGCAGAAGUUCAUUGAUAUGCUCUUCAGGGUUGCCGAGGAAGACAAUGAGAGGUUCUUGAGCAAGUUUAGAAACAGGAUUGAUAAGAUGGCACACUUACUAUCCAUCUUCUUCUGGGAAACAACCCUUUUGUUGGCAUUGGCGGGCAAGUUGGAUCCAAGCUUAAGGGUUAAAGGAGAAGUAACAUAUAAUGGAUAUAGACUGAAUGAAUUUGUUCCGAAAAAGGCAUCUGCAUAUAUCAGCGAGAAUGAUGUUCAUGUCGGAGAAAUGACAGUGAAAGAAACCUUUGAUUUCUCAGCAAGAUGACAGGGUGUUGGCAUUCGAUAUGAUCUCUUAAGUGAGCUUGCUAGAAGGGAAAAAUAUGCAGGAAUUUUCCCAGAAGCUGAUGUAGACCUUUUCAUGAAGGCAACUGCAAUGGGAGUUGAAAGCAGCCUUUUCACUGAUUACACUCUCAAACUUUUGGGUUUCGACAUAGCAAAGAUACCAUUGCUGGAGAUGAGAUGCAGAGGGGCAUUUCUGGAGGUCAAAA
Molecule: long non-coding RNA, 859 nt
Organism: Hibiscus syriacus
Lineage: Eukaryota; Viridiplantae; Streptophyta; Magnoliopsida; Malvales; Malvaceae
Exons: 8
Source: RefSeq, a predicted model, not a curated record